RNAcentral lists this ribosomal RNA (300 nucleotides) under uncultured Bacillus sp. RNAcentral describes it as "bacterial SSU rRNA". It matches the Rfam family "Bacterial small subunit ribosomal RNA", at positions 496 to 795 of the family's 1533-position model. The record is from RNAcentral. Lineage: Bacteria; Bacillati; Bacillota; Bacilli; Caryophanales; Bacillaceae.
GAUACGCGCGGACCAGCAGCCGAGAGAAGACGUAUGGGUGCAGCGUGAAUGGGAAGUGCUGGGCGAAAAGCUGGCGCAGGAGGCUGUGUAAGACAGAUGGGAAAUCCCCGGGCGUAACCUGGGAACUGCAGUUGUGACUGCAAGGCUAGAGUACGGCAGAGGGGGAUGGAAUUCCGCGUGUAGCAGUGAAAGGCGUAGAUAUGCGGAGGAACACCGAUGGCGAAGGCAAUCCCCUGGGCCUGUACUGACGCUCAUGCACGAAAGCGUGGGGAGCAAACAGGAUUAGAUACCCUAGUAGUC